GUCAGUGUGAUGUAGUGGUUUGAGCACUGGACUAUAACUCUGGAGAUCAGGGUUCAAUUCCCUACUCAACCA
Molecule: transfer RNA, 72 nt
Filed under: Phrynosoma platyrhinos (Desert horned lizard)
Lineage: Eukaryota; Metazoa; Chordata; Lepidosauria; Squamata; Phrynosomatidae
Description: tRNA-OTHER
Source: RNAcentral